CGGACGGGUGAGUAAUGUCUGGGAAACUGCCUGAUGGAGGGGGGUAACUACUGGAAACGGUAGCUAAUACCGCAUAACGUCGCAAGACCAAAGAGGGGGACCUUAGGGCCUCUUGCCAUCGGAUGUGCCCAGAUGGGAUUAGCUUGUUGGUGGGGUAACGGCUCACCAAGGCGACGAUCCCUAGCUGGUCUGAGAGGAUGACCAGCCACACUGGAACUGAGACACGGCCCAG
Molecule: ribosomal RNA, 232 nt
Filed under: uncultured bacterium
Lineage: Bacteria
Description: partial 16S ribosomal RNA
Rfam family: Bacterial small subunit ribosomal RNA
Source: RNAcentral